Molecule: ribosomal RNA, 253 nt
Filed under: uncultured bacterium
Lineage: Bacteria
Description: partial 16S ribosomal RNA
Rfam family: Bacterial small subunit ribosomal RNA
Source: RNAcentral
UACGUAGGGUGCAAGCGUUGUCCGGAAUUAUUGGGCGUAAAGAGCUCGUAGGCGGUCUGUCGCGUCGGCUGUGAAAACCCGAGGCUCAACCUCGGGCCUGCAGUCGAUACGGGCAAACUAGAGUACUGCAGGGGAGACUGGAAUUCCUGGUGUAGCGGUGAAAUGCGCAGAUAUCAGGAGGAACCCCGGUGGCGAAGGCGGGUCUCUGGGCAGUAACUGACGCUGAGGAGCGAAAGCGUGGGGAGCGAACAGG